GCGGCGGACGGGUGAGUAACACGUGGGCAACCUGCCUGUAAGACUGGGAUAACUUCGGGAAACCGGAGCUAAUACCGGAUAAUCCUUUUCCUCUCAUGAGGAAAAGCUGAAAGACGGUUUACGCUGUCACUUACAGAUGGGCCCGCGGCGCAUUAGCUAGUUGGUGAGGUAACGGCUCACCAAGGCGACGAUGCGUAGCCGACCUGAGAGGGUGAUCGGCCACACUGGGACUGAGACACGGCCCAGACUCCUACGGGAGGCAGCAGUAGGGAAUCUUCCGCAAUGGACGAAAGUCUGACGGGGCAACGCCGCGUGAGUGAUGAAGGUUUUCGGAUCGUAAAACUCUGUUGUUAGGGAAGAACAAGUACAAGAGUAACUGCUUGUACUUUGACGGUACCUAACCAGAAAGCCACGGCUAACUACGUGCCAGCAGCCGCGGUAAUACGUAGGUGGCAAGCGUUGUCCGGAAUUAUUGGGCGUAAAGCGCGCGCAGGCGGUCCUUUAAGUCUGAUGUGAAAGCCCACGGCUCAACCGUGGAGGGUCAUUGGAAACUGGGGGACUUGAGUGCAG
RNAcentral lists this ribosomal RNA (570 nucleotides) under uncultured soil bacterium. RNAcentral describes it as "bacterial SSU rRNA". It matches the Rfam family "Bacterial small subunit ribosomal RNA", at positions 95 to 651 of the family's 1533-position model. The record is from RNAcentral.